RNAcentral lists this long non-coding RNA (764 nucleotides) under Monodelphis domestica (gray short-tailed opossum). RNAcentral's name for it is "lncRNA (ENSMODG00000034973.2)". The record is from RNAcentral. Lineage: Eukaryota; Metazoa; Chordata; Mammalia; Didelphimorphia; Didelphidae.
AUUGAGUUCUGUUUCCUUAUUACCAUUUUAUGUGAAUUGUGCUGCUAACUGGAGGUUCAUUUCUUGGAAGUGGAAUCUCAGGCAGUGAGUUCUAAGGGUGCUUCGGAGAAAACGAGGCAAGGGGCAUACCUGGAAAGCAUCCGAGAACCAGACUCCUUGAAGAAGAGGCUCUCCUGAUGGCUGCCCAGAUGAGGAAGGACAUAGAGUUUUAACCCACAAAUACCCAGAAAUUGUCUGUGGUGUGAGAUAACUAUUUAGGGGGAGACUCUUGCAAAUGAUCUCAAAGAAUACUUGAUGUUUUGCUGGUCUCGGUCCCAUUAUCCCCAAGAAUACUUUGAUCAAAGUCACAUCGAGAGUAAUUAGACAAGCCUGGAUGGACCUUGAUUUUCUAAGCCUACAUUUAGGGGAUUUUUUCACUAUUCUUUUCUGCAUAUUAAUUGACAGAUUCAACAAUGAAAGUGCUCAACAACAGCAGCAAGUCUCAACUCUCUCCUGAUGAACUACCAGAAGCUUCUUUAACCUUCCACGUGCCACUAAAGAAAGCAAUACCACUUGUCCAACCAGCAAGUUCCCAACAAGGUGGCUGGGGAGUCACCUGUCUCAAUUGGAAGCCUUCCAUGUCUUGCCUCUGACUUCUUGGAAAUCCUCCCAGGUUAAAUUUCUUUUGCUUUCACACUGGUUAUCCUAAUUUAUUCAUCUGAGGAGAAGUUCUCUUUCUGGUCUUUAGAAGAGUCUGGGGGUCUCCUUGAUAUUUUCUCUGAUGG